CCUACGGGAGGCAGCAGUGAGGAAUAUUGGUCAAUGGACGAAAGUCUGAACCAGCCAAGUAGCGUGAAGGAUGACUGCCCUAUGGGUUGUAAACUUCUUUUAUAUGGGAAUAAAAUGUUCCACGUGUGGGAUUUUGUAUGUACCAUAUGAAUAAGGAUCGGCUAACUCCGUGCCAGCAGCCGCGGUAAUACGGAGGAUCCGAGCGUUAUCCGGAUUUAUUGGGUUUAAAGGGAGCGUAGGUGGAUUGUUAAGUCAGUUGUGAAAGUUUGCGGCUCAACCGGAAAAUUGCAGUUGAAACUGGCAGUCGUGAGUACAGUAGAGGUGGGCGGAAUUCGAGGUGUAGCGGUGAAAUGCUUAGAUAUCACGAAGAACUCCGAUUGCGAAGGCAGCUCACUGGACUGCAACUGACACUGAGGCUCGAAAGUGUGGGUAUCAAACAGGAUUAGAUACCCCAGUAGUC
This 460-nucleotide ribosomal RNA is filed under the name uncultured bacterium. Its description in RNAcentral is "partial 16S ribosomal RNA". It matches the Rfam family "Bacterial small subunit ribosomal RNA", at positions 338 to 795 of the family's 1533-position model. The record is from RNAcentral.